Molecule: ribosomal RNA, 253 nt
Filed under: uncultured bacterium
Lineage: Bacteria
Description: partial 16S ribosomal RNA
Rfam family: Bacterial small subunit ribosomal RNA
Source: RNAcentral
UACGGAGGGUGCAAGCGUUAAUCGGAAUUACUGGGCGUAAAGCGCACGCAGGCGGAAUGAUAAGUCUGAUGUGAAAUCCCCGGGCUCAACCUGGGAACUGCAUCGGAUACUGGCAUGCUUGAGUGUCGUAGAGGAGGGUAGAAUUCCAGGUGUAGCGGUGAAAUGCGUAGAGAUCUGGAGGAAUACCGGUGGCGAAGGCGGCCCCCUGGACGAAGACUGACGCUCAGGUGCGAAAGCGUGGGUAGCAAACAGG